Molecule: ribosomal RNA, 486 nt
Filed under: Aeromonas hydrophila
Lineage: Bacteria; Pseudomonadati; Pseudomonadota; Gammaproteobacteria; Aeromonadales; Aeromonadaceae
Description: bacterial SSU rRNA
Rfam family: Bacterial small subunit ribosomal RNA
Source: RNAcentral
AACNCNUGCAAGUCGAGCGGCAGCGGGAAAGUAGCUUGCUACUUUUGCCGGCGAGCGGCGGACGGGUGAGUAAUGCCUGGGAAAUUGCCCAGUCGAGGGGGAUAACAGUUGGAAACGACUGCUAAUACCGCAUACGCCCUACGGGGGAAAGCAGGGGACCUUCGGGCCUUGCGCGAUUGGAUAUGCCCAGGUGGGAUUAGCUAGUUGGUGAGGUAAUGGCUCACCAAGGCGACGAUCCCUAGCUGGUCUGAGAGGAUGAUCAGCCACACUGGAACUGAGACACGGUCCAGACUCCUACGGGAGGCAGCAGUGGGGAAUAUUGCACAAUGGGGGAAACCCUGAUGCAGCCAUGCCGCGUGUGUGAAGAAGGCCUUCGGGUUGUAAAGCACUUUCAGCGAGGAGGAAAGGUUGAUGCCUAAUACGUAUCAACUGUGACGUUACUCGCAGAAGAAGCACCGGCUAACUCCGUGCCAGCAGCCGCGGUAA